This 121-nucleotide ribosomal RNA is filed under the name Thermoplasmata archaeon. The record is from RNAcentral. Lineage: Archaea; Methanobacteriati; Thermoplasmatota; Thermoplasmata.
UUGGACAGUCAUAGUGGUGGGGUUCACCCGGUCUCAUUCCGAACCCGGAAGUUAAGCCCACCGACGUUUCCAGCUGUACUAUGGUACGCGAGUCCAUGGGAACCUGGGAUCGCUGUCCACC